GCUCAGGACGAACGCUGGCGGCGUGCUUAACACAUGCAAGUCGAACGAUGAAGCCCUUCGGGGUGGAUUAGUGGCGAACGGGUGAGUAACACGUGGGCAAUCUGCCCUGCACUCUGGGACAAGCCCUGGAAACGGGGUCUAAUACCGGAUAUGACCGUCUUGGGCAUCCUUGACGGUGUAAAGCUCCGGCGGUGCAGGAUGAGCCCGCGGCCUAUCAGCUUGUUGGUGAGGUAAUGGCUCACCAAGGCGACGACGGGUAGCCGGCCUGAGAGGGCGACCGGCCACACUGGGACUGAGACACGGCCCAGACUCCUACGGGAGGCAGCAGUGGGGAAUAUUGCACAAUGGGCGAAAGCCUGAUGCAGCGACGCCGCGUGAGGGAUGACGGCCUUCGGGUUGUAAACCUCUUUCAGCAGGGAAGAAGCGAAAGUGACGGUACCUGCAGAAGAAGCGCCGGCUAACUACGUGCCAGCAGCCGCGGUAAUACGUAGGGCGCAAGCGUUGUCCGGAAUUAUUGGGCGUAAAGAGCUCGUAGGCGGCUUGUCACGUCGGUUGUGAAAGCCCGGGGCUUAACCCCGGGUCUGCAGUCGAUACGGGCAGGCUAGAGUUCGGUAGGGGAGAUCGGAAUUCCUGGUGUAGCGGUGAAAUGCGCAGAUAUCAGGAGGAACACCGGUGGCGAAGGCGGAUCUCUGGGCCGAUACUGACGCUGAGGAGCGAAAGCGUGGGGAGCGAACAGGAUUAGAUACCCUGGUAGUCCACGCCGUAAACGGUGGGCACUAGGUGUGGGCAACAUUCCACGUUGU
Molecule: ribosomal RNA, 803 nt
Filed under: Streptomyces sp.
Lineage: Bacteria; Bacillati; Actinomycetota; Actinomycetes; Kitasatosporales; Streptomycetaceae
Description: bacterial SSU rRNA
Rfam family: Bacterial small subunit ribosomal RNA
Source: RNAcentral